RNAcentral lists this long non-coding RNA (2451 nucleotides) under Nicotiana benthamiana. Its description in RNAcentral is "long non-coding RNA (NBEN_LNC020445)". Lineage: Eukaryota; Viridiplantae; Streptophyta; Magnoliopsida; Solanales; Solanaceae. The record is from RNAcentral.
AAAAAGAAGAAAAGCUGGGCAGCAGCAUUACACCAAAAACGGGAAGGCUCCUCUCCUUCUUCUCCAUUCCCACUCGAGCUCUCACACUCACGCACAACAUCUGAAAUUCGAAAUUAGCGAAAGUUUAAAAAUCUUAGAUCUGAACCUUUCAGCUUUAGGUUUGAGAGAGACACACAAAAAUAAUUCAAUAUAGAUCUAUUUGGUAGUCAUUUAAAGGGUAUACAUUUAUGAUGCCAGGAAUUUUCUCCACUGUUUCUCCUGGGUUUUGAGCUGGUUAUUUUUUACUGGAAGUUGAAGCUGCUUCUCUAUUGAAUUUGUGUUGCUGAAUUUCAAUUAUCUUUUCAGCCUUAUUUGGCACUUCUAGAUCGUUUUCUUGCUGUUGAGUUUUGCUUCUUUGUAUGCAACAAAAGAUUGAGCUAUUAAAGGAUUAUUUUACUGAAAAUCGGUGUUGUUACUGCUUUUUCGGAUCCCGUCGCUAUUAUUUCUACUUGAUUUUUGGUUAUUUCAGCUUGAUAUUCGGAUGCUGCCUCGCUGAGCUUGAUAUACUAUUGAAAUCAGUUGAUUUUCUACACUCUAGCUUGUGUGAUAUUCAUUUAAAAGUUCCGUUCGAGAUUCCGGCGAGGUUCCGGCGCUGCUACGUGUGCUGUUCAAGUUUUCCAAUUUUGGUCCGGUUGACAGUUCGAUGUCGGUUGCUGGUUUGAGUUUCCGUCCGAGCUUCCGUCUGUUCCGAAUUUUUGUUGUGGCUUCAGCGUUGCUGUCUCAUCGCUGAAUUUAGCUGUUCAUCCUUGCUGGGCUUCAACAUUUUCUUAUCUCGCUCUCAUUUGGUUUUAAGAAUUGGUUUGGGGUGCAACAGGUACUCUUUCUCAUAUUUGAAUUACUGUUGUAUAAGAAUGAUCUAUUUCCUUUGGGUUUUUCAUAUAUAAAAAUCUGAUUCUCUUUCAUAUUAUGAACUUCUCUGGAUAUGGCUGUUGCUGGUGAAUUUAAAUUUGCUGCUGUGUUUGGUGUAUACGUUACCCUGUUCUCGGUGUGUUAAUUGAUUUAUCUUGGUGUAGAGUUUGUCGUUUGUAAGACAUUUCCGUCUACAAUCCUUUUGUAUGUAACUCAUAUGAACCUUUAUAUUUGUAAUUGUUUGGAUGAUGUUCUGUAUCGUAGUACAAUUGGUAUUUGUGUAUUGAUCGGAUGAAGGAAAAGAAUGGAUCUAUUUUUAAUUGCUAGCACAAAGUCAUUUACAAGUUACGGUUAUAUAGUACAUCUAUUUGCAAUAGCUACAUUUAUAAUCGUUAUAUUUAUAAUUGCUAAAAGUCUGAGAAUGCUUGAAGUCCUUUGCUCAACCCAAAUAUUGAACAAUAGUGAUGGCGGACUACUGUUUAAUGAGGUAAGUAGUUAGUUGAAGUUGUUCGAGGUGUGCCUUUAGUAAAUUUCAUGGCCCUCGCAAAGUAGAAAAUUGUAGUUGAUUUAGGUUUACCCUUUAAAAUAAAUGAGGCGAGCUUCGCCCAAUAAAAUAUAAAAUUACGGGGUCCUCAAUAAAAGCUAAAAAAUAUUUAGAAUUCCGGGAUGGGCCGUUUAGCGAAUUUCACGGCUCUCCCAAAAGAUAAUAACGCGCUAGACUCUUUUAGGCGCGUAUUUUAAUAAUUUUACCUUCUUAAAUAUGGGUGUGCAUUGACUCCGACCCAAAUCCAAAUCUCGAUGAAGUUGAAAUGUGUCAAUGACGACGUGUUCCUUGAUGGCGACGCGGUUAGAGAUGUGUUUUCACGACGUCGCAAGUCUUUUAAAAAUAAAUAUAGAUAAAAGCGGUUUAUAAAUAAAAGACAUAUAAGUUAGCAUGCUUUAAAAUCAGGUUUUAAUAAAAUAUAAUAAUUUAAGCGACCGUGCUAGAACCACACGAUCCGAGGGUGCCUAACACCUUCCCUCGGGUCAACAUAAUUCCUUAUUCAGAAUUUCUUGUUCGCUGACUCCAAUCGGAAGUCAAAAGUUUCCUCGGUUCGGGAUACAAGAAAAAACCAGUGACUUGGGACACCAAAAGCCAAACCUUUCCCAAGUGGUGACUCUGAAUAAAUAAAUAAUUCCGAUCCGAAUAAUGUCACUUUAAAUGGAAAAACUCCCUUAUACAUUAUCCUUCGGGGUAAGGUGUGUAAAAAGGAGGUGUUACAGUUUGUGUUGCUUGUUUUGUCGUUAAACCCUUUCACCGUCUGUUUAAUACAAUUCUUUGUUUUGUGCCAUUUCUAGUCAUUUUUGUUUAGUUCUCUUUUCUUUCUACAAAUCUUUUCCUGUUAGAUUUAGUGACAUGGCAUGCACGCAUAAUUUUCAGUCGGAUGUUUAAAAUCUAUGUUUGGUCGGAAAGCAAUGAAACCAUUCUGAAGACGAUGAGGGCACUUUGAGGAAAUAAGAGUAGAUUUGGACGUUGUGAGAUUGUUUGACGCCCGAACCAUGUGAAACUGGGGCAAGUAAAAC